This 2001-nucleotide long non-coding RNA is filed under the name Nicotiana benthamiana. RNAcentral describes it as "long non-coding RNA (NBEN_LNC017937)". The record is from RNAcentral. Lineage: Eukaryota; Viridiplantae; Streptophyta; Magnoliopsida; Solanales; Solanaceae.
CUCCUGAAAUUGGGCCUAAAGUCAAACCCAUUUGAGGUGUUUUUUUUCUCAGCAAGCUUGAACAUCAAAUCGGAAUUUGCUGAGACAUUUACCUCUGACCCUCAUGAUUUUUCAUACACUCAUCAACUUAUCUGUGAGUUCAACACUACUUAGCCCAAAACUCUGGGCCAUUUAAGGGAGCAGUUAACUAAUGAGUGAAAAUUAACAGACCUUGACUUAUGGAAUAAACAAAACAAACAAUUAAUCUAAAACAUUAGAACCAAAUGCAUACUAAAUUAUAACCUUCAAUGAAAACUGCUAGCUAUUUUCAUAAUCUCUCAUACAAUUGGGGAAGAAACCACUUCAAAAGAGUACUCAAACCUCGAGUGUGAGACUAAUUAAACUCAAUUCUGCUAAAGAAAUAUAAAAGAAUGAACAGAUUGCCAUGGUUCUACUUUGAGAUUUUACAAAGUUUUAACACUUAAGCAUGAAUUGCUAAAGUAUCUAUUAUAACAGAUCUAUUACACUUAAGAAAGAAGUAGAAAGAGAAAUGGACAAGAAGCUAAAUGACUUGAGCAAAAGAUGAAAACCAAACUUCUUACAAAUAGCAAUCUUUAUUGAACUUCAAUAGAAACAACACUUUUCAUACAAAAUUCACAUUCACAGCUUCAUUUGCCAUUCAAAGUUCAAAGAAAUACCUAGAACAAUGAGAAACAAACAACAAAAAAGUUUCAGCAGAGAGAUUAGAGUAUCAACAGCUUCUAAACAAAAGCUAAUAAUAGUUCUCAAUCAGCCACCACCAUCUUUGAGCCCAUAAAAGACUAAUCCACUUGAACUUUUAAAGAAUAUCCAAAUAAAUAUGCAGACACAUGCAAUGGAACCAUGAUUUGCGGAAAAAGCUCUAUCAGUGAGGAUAUUUUUUAGCCAUUUCUAACUUUUUAGGUUUUCCAAUCUCCUCAUUUUAUUGAAGACAACCCUUAUAUAGAUAAAUUUAGGGUAACAUAAAUGAUUUUCUAUUUUAACAAUCACCCCUUCCCCAAUUUUUAUUUUUUCAACUUAGACCUUGAUUUUUAAUUCUGUUUGUUAAACUUAACCCCAACCUCACCUUCCUAUCAGCUUCCAGGCAGUUAAAAGAAAUUCCCUCUAUCCAUUUCCCUAGACUACCCUUUAAAACUCUGUUAAUUACCCCCAUGAACCAAACAUGGAUCAAGUUGAUCCAAACAAAUCAAACCAAAGACCCUAGGCUUUGCAAACUCGGAUUGAACUUCCCCUCUUUGGAUUUCUGACUGACGGAGCCCAAAUUUAAUUCCAAAACCAACCGAAAACAAUCAAGAAACUGGGCCAACAGAGUUAUAGAAAACUCCUGAAGCCUUGAAACCAAAGAAAACAAAAAUAGAAAGAACUUUGAGCAAAAUCACACAAUAAAAUUAAAUAAACUAAAACAUGCUCACUAAAAAAAUAACUUAAAAAUGGCAUGCACACAGAGGCGAUAGAAAAAACAAGAAAAAAAGGAAAAAAUUAGAAGGAGAUGAAGAUUGAGAAUAAAACGAAAGACGAAAGAAGGAAAAUGGCCGGAAAAUACCUAGAAUGAACGGAGGGACAAUGGACUUGAAAGGAUCUUCAAAACCCUCGAUUUUGAGCCAAAAUUUGCAUUAAUCUUGUGUUCUCGUUGAGAACAGACGAAUAAAACCAAUUUCAAUCCUAAUCUUUCAUUGAAACUUGACGAUUUGGGAGAUUUGUGUUUUUUAGGGGUCUGACCGGAUUGCUUUAAUCGAAGAUUCAAAACGCUCAAAAGGGAUUCGAGGGAAACUAGUCAGGGAUUGGGAAAUGAGAGGUCUUGAGGGUUCUGUGGUGUAAAUUCGGAGGUGGGUUGAGGCGCUGCCGCCAUCGAAGAUGGUGAGGAAUUUAGGGUGGCGCUAGGGUUUGGAUCUCUGAAUAUGGACGAUGAGUGAAAUGAGAUUAAGUGAGACAAUCCUUAGGUUGUUUGGAAAAUUUUAAAUGAAUUUGGUGAGGCUUCUACAG